RNAcentral lists this long non-coding RNA (429 nucleotides) under Ricinus communis (castor bean). RNAcentral describes it as "long non-coding RNA (RCOM_LNC002399)". The record is from RNAcentral. Lineage: Eukaryota; Viridiplantae; Streptophyta; Magnoliopsida; Malpighiales; Euphorbiaceae.
UGAUGGUUCUGAUUCCCAUGAUACUGAAGCGGCACAUAUUGACUACUAUUCUGAUUAUGAUUCCGAACAGGAACGUACUGCUGAUUAUGAUGCUGGUGGUGGUGGUGGUUGUGGUUAGGAUUAUUGCUAUGCUGAUGGUGAUGAUGUGGAUGGUGAUUGUGGACCGGGAUCACGUGAGAUACGGGUACAGGACUAUGAAUCGGAACAUGGAAAGGCGACGGAGGAGGAUAGAUAUGCAUCAUCGCCGGAGGAGGAGGCGGAGGAGGGAUCACGGUGAGGCGAUUAAGACUAGCAGUAGGAGGAGGAGGAGGAGGUUGUUGCUGUUGCUGUUGAUGACUAGAGGGGCGCGUGGGGACAAACUCAGGCGCCUGCGCGUUGAGUUUACUAAAAGACACAUUUCGAGAAAGCGAUGGAUCUGACGAAGAAGAA